AAAAAGGGCGCUCGUCCUGGCACGUUCUCAUCACGGAACACAAGUGCAGACGCAUUGCGCCGCAGGAGCGUCUCCUUCGCUCCGCUCCUGGGAUUCCGGGUGCGGGCGGGGGCGAGCGUCCAAUUGCCGCCCUUGACGUCUCCUUGCGCGCCCAGUGGGGUAUGGCUUUGCAUAUCCAGUGCGUAAUUUUUGUAUUUGGGGCCGCGGCUGCAAUUCCUGGAUUGCUUGGGGAUUCGGGACUCCCGAUCCUCCUGCGUGCCAAUGCGCUGCGCCCCG
This is a small nuclear RNA of Drosophila elegans, 276 nucleotides long. RefSeq annotates it as U11 spliceosomal RNA. The transcript has a single exon. Lineage: Eukaryota; Metazoa; Arthropoda; Insecta; Diptera; Drosophilidae. The record is from RefSeq and is a predicted model, not a curated record.